GAUGAACGCUAGCGGCAGGCCUAAUACAUGCAAGUCGAACGGGAUCUGAGGGUAGCUUGCUACCCGAUUUGAGAGUGGCGCACGGGUGCGUAACGCGUGAGCAACCUACCCAUAUCAGGGGGAUAGCCCGAAGAAAUUCGGAUUAACACCGCAUAAUAAUACGCUAACACAUGUUGAUGUAUUUAAAUAUUUAUAGGAUAUGGAUGGGCUCGCGUGACAUUAGCUAGUUGGUAAGGUAACGGCUUACCAAGGCGACGAUGUCGAGGGGCUCUGAAAGGAGAACCCCCCACACUGGUACGGAGACACGGACCAGACUCCUACGGGAGGCAGCAGUAAGAAAUACUGGUCAAUGGGCGCAAGCCUGAACCAGCCAUGCCGCGUGCAGGAUGACUGCCCUAUGGGUUGUAAACUGCUUUUGUUAGGGAAUAAACCUUCUUACGUUUAAGGAGCUGAAUGUACCAAAAGAAUAAGGAUCGGCUAACUCCGUGCCAGCAGCCGCGGUAA
This 504-nucleotide ribosomal RNA is filed under the name uncultured bacterium. Its description in RNAcentral is "partial 16S ribosomal RNA". It matches the Rfam family "Bacterial small subunit ribosomal RNA", at positions 28 to 523 of the family's 1533-position model. The record is from RNAcentral.